GAUCAUGGCUCAGGAUGAACGCUAGCUACAGGCUUAACACAUGCAAGUCGAGGGGAAACGACAUCGAAAGCUUGCUUUUGAUGGGCGUCGACCGGCGCACGGGUGAGUAACGCGUAUCCAACCUUCCCGUUACUCUGGAAUAGCCUUUCGAAAGAAAGAUUAAUACCGGACAGUAUCGAGAGAUUGCAUGAUUACCCGAUUAAAGAUUCAUCGGUAACGGAUGGGGAUGCGUUCCAUUAGGCAG
This 244-nucleotide ribosomal RNA is filed under the name uncultured bacterium. RNAcentral describes it as "partial 16S ribosomal RNA". It matches the Rfam family "Bacterial small subunit ribosomal RNA", at positions 15 to 248 of the family's 1533-position model. The record is from RNAcentral.